GAUGAACGCUGGCGGCGUGCCUAAUACAUGCAAGUCGAACGAGUUCUUCGGAACUAGUGGCGGACGGGUGAGUAACACGUUGGUACCUACCCCGAAGUGGGGAAUAACUGGCCGAAAGGUCGGCUAAUACCGCAUAAUACCGUAAGGUUAAAGCAGUAAUGCGCUUCGGGAGGGGCCUGCGUCGGAGUAGCUAGUUGGUAGUGUAAUGGACUACCAAGGCGACGAUCAGUAGCGGGAUCGAGAGGUUGACCAGCCACACUGGGACUGAGAUACGGGCCAGACUCCUACGGGAGGCAGCAGUAAGGAAUCUUCCACAAUGGACGAAAGUCUGAUGGAGCAACGCCGCGUGCAGGAUGACGGCCUUCGGGUUGUAAACUGCUUUUAUAUGGGAAGAUUAUGACGGUACCAUAUGAAUAAGCACCGGCUAACUACGUGCCAGCAGCCGCCGCGG
This 451-nucleotide ribosomal RNA is filed under the name uncultured bacterium. RNAcentral's name for it is "partial 16S ribosomal RNA". It matches the Rfam family "Bacterial small subunit ribosomal RNA", at positions 28 to 523 of the family's 1533-position model. The record is from RNAcentral.